This 377-nucleotide ribosomal RNA is filed under the name uncultured Geobacillus sp. RNAcentral's name for it is "bacterial SSU rRNA". It matches the Rfam family "Bacterial small subunit ribosomal RNA", at positions 1004 to 1382 of the family's 1533-position model. Lineage: Bacteria; Bacillati; Bacillota; Bacilli; Caryophanales; Anoxybacillaceae. The record is from RNAcentral.
AGAUAGAAAGUUACUUCGGUACAUCGGUGACAGGUGGUGCAUGGUUGUCGUCAGCUCGUGUCGUGAGAUGUUGGGUUAAGUCCCGCAACGAGCGCAACCCUCGACCUUAGUUGCCAGCAUUCGGUUGGGCACUCUAGAGGGACUGCCGGCGACAAGUCGGAGGAAGGUGGGGAGUGACGUCAAAUCAUCAUGCCCCUUAUGACCUGGGCUACACACGUGCUACAAUGGGCGGUACAAAGGGCUGCGAACCCGCGAGGGGGAGCGAAUCCCAAAAAGCCGCUCUCAGUUCGGAUUGCAGGCUGCAACUCGCCUGCAUGAAGCCGGAAUCGCUAGUAAUCGCGGAUCAGCAUGCCGCGGUGAAUACGUUCCCGGGCCUU